GGCGGUUCUUGAGUGACACACCUAGGAGUCGGGCUCCCUCCUCUCUGGUUCUGGGUGUGUCACCCGAGGACCGCA
This is a non-coding RNA of Myotis davidii, 75 nucleotides long. Lineage: Eukaryota; Metazoa; Chordata; Mammalia; Chiroptera; Vespertilionidae. The record is from Rfam.